GUGCCAGCAGCCGCGGUAAUACGUAGGUGGCAAGCGUUAUCCGGAAUUAUUGGGCGUAAAGCGCGCGUAGGCGGUUUUUUAAGUCUGAUGUGAAAGCCCACGGCUCAACCGUGGAGGGUCAUUGGAAACUGGAAAACUUGAGUGCAGAAGAGGAAAGUGGAAUUCCAUGUGUAGCGGUGAAACAGCGCAGAGAUAUGGAGGAACACCAGUGGCGAAGGCGACUUUCUGGUCUGUAACUGACGCUGAUGUGCGAAAGCGUGGGGAUCAAACAGGAUU
This 276-nucleotide ribosomal RNA is filed under the name uncultured Staphylococcus sp. Its description in RNAcentral is "partial 16S ribosomal RNA". It matches the Rfam family "Bacterial small subunit ribosomal RNA", at positions 505 to 779 of the family's 1533-position model. Lineage: Bacteria; Bacillati; Bacillota; Bacilli; Caryophanales; Staphylococcaceae. The record is from RNAcentral.